Molecule: ribosomal RNA, 237 nt
Filed under: uncultured bacterium
Lineage: Bacteria
Description: partial 16S ribosomal RNA
Rfam family: Bacterial small subunit ribosomal RNA
Source: RNAcentral
AGGUGUGGGGCCUUAUCAACGGGUUCCGUGCCGCAGCUAACGCAUUAAGUGCCCCGCCUGGGGAGUACGGCCGCAAGGCUAAAACUCAAAGGAAUUGACGGGGGCCCGCACAAGCGGCGGAGCAUGUUGCUUAAUUCGAGGCAACGCGAAGAACCUUACCUGGGUUUGACAUGUAGGGAAAAGCCGUAGAGAUACGGUGUCCUUCGGGGCCCUACACAGGUGGUGCAUGGCUGUCGU